Long non-coding RNA from Sycon ciliatum, 2231 nucleotides. RefSeq lists it as uncharacterized. NCBI's taxonomy places the organism in Eukaryota, Metazoa, Porifera, Calcarea, Leucosolenida, Sycettidae. The transcript is spliced from 3 exons. The record is from RefSeq and is a predicted model, not a curated record.
GACUGUACUCUUGGUGCAUGCUAGCAGUAGCAUUCUGCACGAAAAUGAAAAUAAUAAUUAUUACCUCCAGUUCUUUACCAUCCUAGCCAGGUCUAGGCGUCUUCGUGUUGAAUUCUUUUAAUCCUGUCCCAUUCCCUCCCGUGGAGCGGUGUUGGAUGCGAGUAAUCAGAUCUAACAGAAUGUCGAAGGGAAAUUUUGUCGUCCCUUCGUUUCCACUGAAAUUCAAAAAGCUUUAUUACGUCUCGGCGAUUCGAAGAUAGCACCGGAGCUAAAAGGACAGAAUCGAAGUGACGAUCUCUCUAUCAUGUGCUUAACAUGUGAAACAGCGCAACUCACUCGUCAAUGUGUCGUCAUGGCACACUGUGAACCCUCUACUGCUGCAAGCAGCAGCAAGCUACAUUCCGCAGUGCCGAAGGAAGCAGGGUGACAGAGCAUAGGAUAUGAUCUCUGUUGCCGCUUGUAUCUCUGGCCAGAGUGAAGCACUUGUAGGAAUUUUUGAAUGGGUCUGGAGAUGGCCACCGUUUUGGAAUGGAGCAAGAACACCAGGUCCUGCUCCCACAUCAUCAUCGUCAUCAACAGCAGCAAAAGCAACAACACGAGUGUGAGCUGUAGCCACCGCGGCCGCAGGAACAGCAGCAUCCGAGCAGCAACAGCAGUAGCGGCAGCCGCAGCCGCAGCAGCAGCAGCAGCAGGAACUGCACCGCAUUAGCCUCACUGGCAGUAGCAGGAGCAGGGACAGCAGGAUCAGCAGUAGUGGCAACUGCAAUAGCCGCACUAGCAGCAGCAGUAGUAGCAGCAGUAGUAGUGGCACUAGGAGGUGAACACAUUUUCAUGGAGCGUGUGUGCGUGUGUCGGGGGGGGGGGGUGAACAUGCAUACGAGUUCAAGGUGUGUGAACACAGUUCAUGGAGAGUGUGUACAAUCAUGGUGUGUGUAGGAUUGGGGAGAGUGAACAAAAAAAAACCCUGAAUAUGUACUCAGCUCACAUACCCGCGUACGUGUGUGGGUGAGGUGGGCUGCGAGUCACCAUGCCGUCCAUGUUUGGACCACAAGUGCGCGCUCACACUUCACAGGCCGCUGCAGGGUGAGCAGAAGUGUGGCCAGAAACCAUGGGAACUUCCCCAUCCUCGACCCUGCCGAUAUGGACAAAGCAUGGCCAGCUGGUACCACUCAGUAGAGAUUUCACGUGCAAUGAACUAACAAGUAACCGACAUUCAUUGGAUUGAAAUGAAUGUACUCAUGUACAGUGUGGAUCGGUUAUAGCGUGGUCGUGUAAAAGAAUAUACUGCCUGCAAGAAUGAACUCUCAUGUUUUCAUAAUCAUAACAUGGGUUUCAAGUGCACAUUAAUUUAUUCUUACAAGCAAUUUUAUCGCACACUAGAAUACUAGUAUAAUUAUCGGUCCUAAGAAUGGUUUUUGUGUAGUGAAACACGCUAGAUUAGUACUUGUACAAAGUAUAUCGCCUGUAGUAAUAAUACAGUAGAGUCGCGCGCUGAAGAACGUGGAGCCCAAGAACGUCCAGCCUGAAAUACUAAGAACGCCACAGCCUAAAGCUAAGAACGUCGGUGUUGGUUUUCUGGCGGCUUGUGGGACACAUAUGAUUCAGUAUGGAUUGAUUCUAAGAACGUGUUAUAAGAACGCAGCCAGAUUACUGAAAAAUAAGAACGUCCCAGGCUAACCCCUCGGAAACAACGUUCUUGGGCGCGCGACUACUGUAUCCGUCCAAUGCAAUUCUGAUCCGACUCGCGUUGGGUCGUAGUGCAUGCUGCAGGUUCAACUGUUGUGGUCAUGUAACUCAUGACGUUGCAUAGCCACAUGGUAAGCCUAUGUGACUACAUGUAUGACCAGCCGCAUGCACAGUAACAUUACAUAGUCAUUGCAUGUACGAUGAUCUUACUGCCUCUGCGCACAUGCACAUGACAUGUCACACUUGAUUUAUCGUGUGUAAGAAACAUCGGAAACAAGAAUAGAAAGUCGUUUUUCAAACACCCACGCUAUAACCGAUACCUACUGUACAUUGUAUAGUAUGCAUGUAUGAAUUCAUAAUAGCCAUGAACAGUGCCAUGUGUUUAUUAGUAACUCGACUGUACACAAAUACAAUACAAUGCAGUGCAGUCAUGUAGUACAAUGUUUUUUUUUGGGAUGGCUUUUUAUUUUUCACCCUCCCUCAUUGAAUGUACAAUGUAUGAAGUACGAAUGUAUCAAGAAUGUAUCAAGUACGAGAAAGGUGAC